This 507-nucleotide ribosomal RNA is filed under the name Cicindela chinensis. RNAcentral's name for it is "partial large subunit ribosomal RNA". It matches the Rfam family "Bacterial large subunit ribosomal RNA", at positions 1829 to 2597 of the family's 2925-position model. The record is from RNAcentral. Lineage: Eukaryota; Metazoa; Arthropoda; Insecta; Coleoptera; Carabidae.
GUCCUUUUGAAUAUAUAUAAGGUCUAACCUGCCCAAUGAGGAUUUUAAUGGCCGCAGUAUUUUGACUGUGCAAAGGUAGCAUAAUUAUUAGUUUUUUAAUUGAAAACUUGUAUGAAGGGUUGGACGAAAUAAAAACUGUCUUUAUUUAAAUAAAGUUAGAAUUUAACUUUUAAGUUAAAAGGCUUAAAUGUUAAUAAUAGACGAGAAGACCCUAUAGAUCUUUAUUUAAUUAAUAUUUUAAUAAUUUAGGAUUAUUUUAAUUUAAAAUUUUAAUUAAAUUUUAUUGGGGUAAUAUAAAGAUUUAAUUAAUUCUUUCUAUUAAUUACAUUAAUUUAUGAAUAAAUGAUCCAAUACUAUUGAUUAUAAGAUUAAGUUACCUUAGGGAUAACAGCGUAAUUUUUUUGGAGAGCUCAUAUCGAUAAAAAAGUUUGCGACCUCGAUGUUGGAUUAAAAAUUAGCUUGGGUGCAGAAGCUCAAGAUUUUGGUCUGUUCGACCAUUAAAUUUUU